GGAAAGUUGAAAAGAACUCUGAAGAGAGAGUUAAAUAGUACGUGAAACUGAAUAAGUGGAAGCGUAUAGAGUUGUCGAAAGAUGGUAAUAAUAAGUUGUAUAGUAGUGUAACAGUUUAUAAAAUGUUUCCGUAUGGUUCAUUUUGUGAAUGUAGUUUGCUGCUAUGCGAUGCACUUGUUGCCAUUGUGCUGAUACAGUUGAUUGAGACUUUGGAAAUAAUAUUAGAGGGCUUUCCUUUACGGGAGAGUAUCCUGGUAUUAUGGAUAAAGUAUUUGGUUAGCUGUUUUCUGUACGGAGUAUAAAAGAGGAUGUAAGUAUGAUAGUUUUUAAGAGUUAACGCAUGCGUUGGCUUUUUUAGAUUGUUAUAUCUUGUGUUUAAUGAUAUGCUUCUAUAUCAGUAUAAAAGACAAUCACCUAUAUGUCCCGUCUUGAAACACGGACCAAGGAGUUUAUCGUAUGUGCGAGUCAUUAAGUGUUAAAAACUUAUUGGCGUAAUGAAAGUAAAGUAUUCUUUAUCGGAUAUGAUAUAUGAUUGCUUUCCGUUCAUAUGGAAGGUAAGCAGUAUAGUCCCAUCCAAUUUGUUUACAAAUGGGUGGAGAUAGAGCAUAUGCGAUGAGACCCGAAAGAUGGUGAACUAUGCCUGAGCAGGAUGAAGUCAGAGGAAACUCUGAUGGAAGUCCGAAGCGGUUCUGACGUGCAAAUCGAUCGUCUGACUUGGGUAUAGGGGCGAAAGACUAAUCGAACCAUCUAGUAG
Molecule: ribosomal RNA, 754 nt
Filed under: Meloidogyne javanica (root-knot nematode)
Lineage: Eukaryota; Metazoa; Nematoda; Chromadorea; Rhabditida; Meloidogynidae
Description: partial large subunit ribosomal RNA
Rfam family: Eukaryotic large subunit ribosomal RNA
Source: RNAcentral